RNAcentral lists this ribosomal RNA (403 nucleotides) under bacterium. Its description in RNAcentral is "partial 16S ribosomal RNA". It matches the Rfam family "Bacterial small subunit ribosomal RNA", at positions 355 to 776 of the family's 1533-position model. The record is from RNAcentral.
UGGGGAAUAUUGCACAAUGGAGGGAACUCUGAUGCAGCGACGCCGCGUGAACGAAGAAGGCUUUCGAGUCGUAAAGUUCUUUUAUAUGGGAAGAUAAUGAUGGUACCAUAAGAAAAAGCCCCGGCUAACUACGUGCCAGCAGCCGCGGUAAUACGUAGGGGGCUAGCGUUGUCCGGAAUCACUGGGCGUAAAGGGUUCGCAGGCGGAAAUGCAAGUCAGGUGUAAAAGGCAGUAGCUUAACUACUGUAAGCAUUUGAAACUGCAUAUCUUGAGAAGAGUAGAGGUAAGUGGAAUUUUUAGUGUAGCGGUGAAAUGCGUAGAUAUUAAAAAGAAUACCGGUGGCGAAGGCGACUUACCGGGCUCAUUCUGGCGCUGAGGAACGAAAGCGUGGGUAGCAAACAGG